UAACUGCUGUCUGCCUCAGUUUCCCUAUAUUUAAAAAUGGGGAUAAGAAUAGCACUUACCUCCCAAAGUUAUUGUGAAGAUCAAAUGAGAUAUUUGUAAAGGACUUAGUCCAGUGAUUGGCACAUAGCACUUAAUGCUUAUUCCCUUCCUUCCUUCCUUCCUUCCUUUCCUUCCUUCCUUUCUUUCUUUCUUGCCUUCUUUCUUCCUUCCUUCCUUCCUUUCCUUCCUUCCUUUCUUCUUUCUUUCUUUCUUUCUUUCUUUCUUUCUUUCUUUCUUUCUUUCUUUCUUUCUUUCUUUCUUUCUUUCUUUCUUUCUUUCUUUCUUUCUUUCUUUCCCUUACUUUCAGUCUUAGAAACAACUCUAACACAGAAGGGCAAGGGCUAGGUAAAUGGAGUUAAGUGACUUACACAGGUUCACAUAGGUAGGGAGUACCUGAGGUCAGAUUUGACCUCAAGACCUGCUAUCUCUAGGGCUGGCACUAACCCACUAAGCCACCUAGCUGUCCAGCUGAUCUGUGUUUUCUUUCAAAACAUGACUAAUAUGAAAAUGUUUCCCAUGACUGUACAUGUAUAACCUGCAUCAAACUGCUUUUCCUCUUAGGAGUAGUGGGAAGGAGAGGGAGGGAAUUUGGAACUCAAAUUUUUAAAAAACAAAUAUCAAAUAUUACAUUUUCACAUCAUUGGGAAAAAAACAAAUAUUAAAAAUUUAAAAAGGAAAACAUACUGAGUUUGAAAUGCCGGUGGGUCAUCCAGUUUGAGAUGUUGAAGAGACAGCUGAUGGAGCGUUUGAAUCUAAGUCUUCUGUAUUCAAAAAGAAUACUAGCAGCUGUCACCCUCCUCCCAUACACAGAUAAAUGACAUUAGUGGGAUCAUUAGGUUGGGUCCCCAGCUGACCCAGAAGGCCUCAGAUUAUCUUUAAUGGAUGCAGGGUUCUCAUCUGGAAUUUUGGGGAAAUCUCCUAUGUAGGAAAGGAAGAGCACUAACAAACUCAGCUGUGGCCAGAAUGGAAGGAGAAGGCUAGGGUCUGGGGCAAGGAAGCUUGUGGGAGGCUUUGCUAAGCUCCUUGGAAUCGGAGGAACGACACUUUCCAAGUCUUCAGCUAGAAGGAGACUGAGAUUGUGAUCUCUAAGGCCCUUCAUUCAAGAAUCACAGUCUUGGGAGAAACAAGGCAUUUGGGGUUUUGUUUUUAAGAAUUCCCAGUUCUGUAGCACAUGAAAUAACUCACAUUUAUGUAACGCUUUCAGAUUUACAAUCCACCUUCACAAUGCUGAGAGGUGGAGAACACCAACAUUAGAUAGACGAGAAAAUGAAGGCGAUGAAGUUAGGACUUGCGCAGUCACUGUUUCCCAACUCCAAGUCUACAAUGUUGGGGCAGCUGCUACAGGCAUGACUGCAAAGCAGAGCUGGGCUAUUCAGUAUAGUUUCCCUCCAUACUCAGUAGGGAAAACAUCCCCCAAAGGUAACUCAGGUGCUUCAUAUUAUAGGGGUCCAGCCCAAAGGUAACACUAAUUACGUGUAAGUUCUUGUGCCAGAUCUAGCUUCCAUAGUACAUCUCACAUAGCAGACACUCACGUGCUCAUUGGAUGGAGAAAACAGAAGCAGUUCAAAUGAAAUAUGGCAAAAACAAAAAAGCGCUAGCUGUUAGCAUCUCAGCCCAAGCUGCCUUGUUGCCUCUCAUGAAUAUGUAAAGGCAGGAACAGAAGCCUGCUCUAGACUAGCUUUAGUCUGGGACCACGGGUUACAAACAUAUACGAAUGAUGAUUUCGUAUGCCUCACAUUUAAACACCUGCCUCUUCUCCGCAUCAUUCUAGAUAGAAAGCAGAAUGCAGAAGGCUCUAAAAAGGAAACUGUUUAAUAAGGCAGGGAUUUAAAUCCUAUUGAAAUGAACUACAGGAGGAGUCUUUGUGGAUAUUUCUCCACAAAGUGUAACCGAUAGGGAUGGGGCAUUCGCCGAGUUCAGGAAGAUGUUCCUUUGCAGGAAAUCCCAGCUUAGAGAUUCCCUAUGUGAGAAUGCUUGCUGCUGCCUUACUCUUGUUACUAAUCAACAUGACAGGGGUCAUGCAUUACUAACUCGCUCAGCACUGCACACAACUCUCUGGGAUGGGUCAUGUCCACAAGAUUCAUUUUAACUCAGGAUGUCAAACCCAAAACAAAAAAUCCAAUUUAGUUUUUUGCCAGGGCCCACUAAGGAAUAAAGGGUUUUAAGAAGAGAAUUGGGAAGUACUG
Monodelphis domestica (gray short-tailed opossum) is the source of this 2225-nucleotide long non-coding RNA. NCBI's taxonomy places the organism in Eukaryota, Metazoa, Chordata, Mammalia, Didelphimorphia, Didelphidae. The record is from Ensembl.